RNAcentral lists this ribosomal RNA (477 nucleotides) under uncultured Treponema sp. RNAcentral describes it as "bacterial SSU rRNA". It matches the Rfam family "Bacterial small subunit ribosomal RNA", at positions 29 to 495 of the family's 1533-position model. Lineage: Bacteria; Pseudomonadati; Spirochaetota; Spirochaetia; Treponematales; Treponemataceae. The record is from RNAcentral.
AACGAACGCUGGCGGCGCGUCUUAAGCAUGCAAGUCGAGCGGCAAGGGGGAGCAAUCCCUCCUAGAGCGGCGGACUGGUGAGUAACGCGUGGGUGACCUACCCUAAGGUUGGGGAUAGCCAUUAGAAAUAGUGGGUAAUACCGAAUAUGGUUGCGGGACUUUGGUUCUGUAAAGAAAGGGGCUUCGGCCCCGCCUUGGGAUGGGCCCGCGUCCCAUUAGCUUGUUGGUGAGGUAAGAGCCCACCAAGGCGAUGAUGGGUAGCCGGCCUGAGAGGGUGAACGGCCACACUGGGACUGAGAUACGGCCCAGACUCCUACGGGAGGCAGCAGCUAAGAAUAUUCCGCAAUGGACGAAAGUCUGACGGAGCGACGCCGCGUGGAUGACGAAGGCCGAAAGGUUGUAAAAUCCUUUUGUUACUGAAGAAUAAGCGGGGGAGGGAAUGCCCUAGUGAUGACGUUAGGUAACGAAUAAGCCCCG